This 119-nucleotide ribosomal RNA is filed under the name Pteropus alecto (black flying fox). The record is from RNAcentral. Lineage: Eukaryota; Metazoa; Chordata; Mammalia; Chiroptera; Pteropodidae.
UACUACAGCCAUGCAAUCCUGAAUAUGCCCAAUUUCAUCUGAUCUCAGAAGCUAAGCAGGGUUGGACCUGGUUAGUACUUGGAUGGGAGACCACCUAGGAAUACCGGGUGCUGUAGGAG